This is a long non-coding RNA of Octopus sinensis (East Asian common octopus), 255 nucleotides long. RefSeq lists it as uncharacterized. The transcript has 3 exons. The record is from RefSeq and is a predicted model, not a curated record. Lineage: Eukaryota; Metazoa; Mollusca; Cephalopoda; Octopoda; Octopodidae.
UGUGCAACCUCCUAAGUGUCAUAAAGCACUUUACAGUACCAGUUUCUUCCUUCGCACCUCUGAACUUUGGAAUUCCUUCCCACAGUUUUGUUUUCCUCUUCUAUAUGACCUCCAGUCUUUUAAGUCUAAUGUACCUCGUCACCUAUUGACUUCUUUCUAGCGUCCAUUUUAUUCUAGUAACUCUUACAUUUUCAGUGGUCCAAGGACCUUGUAACAAGCGAAUGCUUUAAAAAACAAAAAAAAUCUGACCAAAAU